Molecule: ribosomal RNA, 349 nt
Filed under: Listeria monocytogenes
Lineage: Bacteria; Bacillati; Bacillota; Bacilli; Caryophanales; Listeriaceae
Description: bacterial SSU rRNA
Rfam family: Bacterial small subunit ribosomal RNA
Source: RNAcentral
UUUAAAGAGAGUUUGAUCCUGGCUCAGGACGAACGCUGGCGGCGUGCCUAAUACAUGCAAGUCGAACGAACGGAGGAAGAGCUUGCUCUUCCAAAGUUAGUGGCGGACGGGUGAGUAACACGUGGGCAACCUGCCUGUAAGUUGGGGAUAACUCCGGGAAACCGGGGCUAAUACCGAAUGAUAAAGUGUGGCGCAUGCCACGCUUUUGAAAGAUGGUUUCGGCUAUCGCUUACAGAUGGGCCCGCGGUGCAUUAGCUAGUUGGUAGGGUAAUGGCCUACCAAGGCAACGAUGCAUAGCCGACCUGAGAGGGUGAUCGGCCACACUGGGACUGAGACACGGCCCAGACUC